RNAcentral lists this ribosomal RNA (380 nucleotides) under uncultured eukaryote. RNAcentral's name for it is "partial 18S ribosomal RNA". It matches the Rfam family "Eukaryotic small subunit ribosomal RNA", at positions 592 to 976 of the family's 1831-position model. The record is from RNAcentral.
CAAUAGCGUAUAUUAAAGUUGUUGCGGUUAAAAAGCUCGUAGUUGGAUUUCUGCUGAGGACGACCGGUCCGCCCUCUGGGUGAGUAUCUGGCUCGGCCUUGGCAUCUUCUUGGGGAACGUAACUGCACUUGACUGUGUGGUGCGGUAUCCAGGACUUUUACUUUGAGGAAAUUAGAGUGUUUCAAGCAGGCGCACGCCUUGAAUACAUUAGCAUGGAAUAAUAAGAUAGGACCUUGGUUCUAUUUUGUUGGUUUCUAGAGCUGAGGUAAUGAUUAAUAGGGAUAGUUGGGGGCAUUCGUAUUUAACUGUCAGGGGUGAAAUUCUUGGAUUUGUUAAAGACGGACUACUGCGAAAGCAUUUGCCAAGGAUGUUUUCAUUGA